Small nucleolar RNA from Cricetulus griseus (Chinese hamster), 132 nucleotides. The record is from Ensembl. Lineage: Eukaryota; Metazoa; Chordata; Mammalia; Rodentia; Cricetidae.
GUGUGGAUUGGAUUAUGGUAAGCCUAUCCUUCAGGGCCUCUCACAAUGUCGAAAGCCGAAGCAAACCAUGACCGUAGCCCAUUGCCUAGCCUCUGUCCUUAGGCUGCUAACACUGUUGUGAAUUGUGCAGUG